This is a long non-coding RNA of Myzus persicae (green peach aphid), 243 nucleotides long. RefSeq lists it as uncharacterized. Lineage: Eukaryota; Metazoa; Arthropoda; Insecta; Hemiptera; Aphididae. The record is from RefSeq and is a predicted model, not a curated record. The transcript is spliced from 2 exons.
AAAUUUCGUUUUUUUUUUUUUUUCGAAUCGGAAGUGUUGAAACAUGGUCCGUAAUUAUAUAAAAAAAAACCUUAGGGUUAAUUACUCAUUAGAUGAUUUGAAAAAAGCUGUUGAUGCAGUUCAGUGUCAAGGAGCCAAUAACCUAACCAAUAAGCAAAAGUAAAUCAAAGUAUGUACCAAUAGAUGAUGAGUCUGAUGAUAGUUCUCUCUUUGAAGAAGAUAAUAAUAUUCCAGCUAAAAAAA